UUGCGUUUCCCUCACUCCAUUCUUCUCUCAACUACACAAUAAACUAAUCAGAAUUAGUAAACAAAUCCAUCAAAUUACAGGUAAAACUCCGCUGCUGCACAGUCUGGCAUCUACAAUGCAAGUUCAUAUUGCCGACCAAGCAUACACACGACACAACACCCACUUUAACACUCGAUCCCUCAUCGAAAUCCCAACACAAAACUCGAUAGCAUAGUAACUUUUUUUCAUUUUCCAGGAGUUACUUUUCACCCUUUUUUUGGUUUCAGAUACUUUUCCCUUCACUUGCCUCGUAAUUCCCGCAGUCUAACUGUCAAAAUGCCACAACAUUUGUGAGAACCUUCCAAUAAUUGGCGCAUCAUUUUUUUUUUCUUUACUUGUUGUGCACAAGAAAAGGGACAUUUUUUUGUUUUCCGAAUUCUUGAUCUGGAAAACGAAAUGGAGGGUGGUGAAGAAAAAACAGUGAAAAUGAAGUUGCAGGCCGAUCGGACCUUCAAUUUGGAGCCUGAUGCGGUGGUUUCUUCUCCAGUGACANNNNN
Molecule: long non-coding RNA, 536 nt
Filed under: Olea europaea (common olive)
Lineage: Eukaryota; Viridiplantae; Streptophyta; Magnoliopsida; Lamiales; Oleaceae
Description: long non-coding RNA (OEUR_LNC007015)
Source: RNAcentral